Molecule: unclassified non-coding RNA, 774 nt
Filed under: Hevea brasiliensis (rubber tree)
Lineage: Eukaryota; Viridiplantae; Streptophyta; Magnoliopsida; Malpighiales; Euphorbiaceae
Source: RNAcentral
GAGAGAGAGAGAGAGAGAGUUCACUCUAUCUAAAUGUCUUCACUGGAGAAACAGACUCAAAUAGAGCUCAUGAUGUAUGAAAUAUGUAAGAGUGGCCUGACAAAAGAACUGAAGUAACAAGGGGUUAUUUUGCAAAUAUGAAGCUGGUUAUUUUCAAAUCAAUCUAGCCAUAGAGGAGUCUGGGACUGAUUUUGAAGGUCCAGAUUAGGAAGCAAAGUAUCAAAUUGAAAUUUAAGAGUAGUGGCGAUGUAAAACAAAGAAAGAGUUAGAAAACAAGAGGGCCGAUGCAAGACAUCUAACUUCCCAACCUCUUACUCUCGUGAUAGCGUAAAUCUAAACAUAGUAUACAUGUGUGUCAAAAGGAGAGGGAAAAAAUUGGAAUUCAUACAUAACUGAAUCAUAAUUCCAAAGGCCAUUUGGUUUGUAGCAUUAAUCAUCAAGUUAUACUUAGAUUGGCGAGCUACAUCAAUGAAGGGAUGUUGCUAACUAAGCUACCAAAUUUGAAUAUAUAAGCUCACUGAAAGCUAUCACUCCUACGAUGAUAGAAAAACUAACAUCCAAAACCAGGAAUACACCACAGAAUAUGGGUAACAAUAAAAUAUUGGAUCAAUUAUCAAUUGAUAUAAGGGGAUUUUCUAGGAAUCUAAUUGUAAAGAAUAAGAGAAUAUAAAUUGAGGCUAAGGAUGGAGAGAGGAUAUGAGGAGAUAAAUUAAGAAUUUGUUCUUGAUCUUCCAUGUGAUUCUUCUCGGCUUGAUGCAUAAAAUUAACAACAAU